Molecule: unclassified non-coding RNA, 97 nt
Organism: Cavia aperea (Brazilian guinea pig)
Lineage: Eukaryota; Metazoa; Chordata; Mammalia; Rodentia; Caviidae
Rfam family: Y RNA
About the family: Y RNAs are components of the Ro ribonucleoprotein particle (Ro RNP), in association with Ro60 and La proteins. The Y RNAs and Ro60 and La proteins are well conserved, but the function of the Ro RNP is not known.
Source: Ensembl
GGCUGGUCCGAUGGCAGUGGGUUAUCAGAACUUAUUAACAUUAGUGUCACUAAAGUUGGUAUACCACCCCCCCACUGCUAAAUUUGACUGGCUAAAA